This 682-nucleotide ribosomal RNA is filed under the name Aureobasidium pullulans. RNAcentral describes it as "eukaryotic LSU rRNA". The stretch from base 1 to 586 matches the Rfam family "Eukaryotic large subunit ribosomal RNA", at positions 63 to 664 of the family's 3401-position model. Lineage: Eukaryota; Fungi; Ascomycota; Dothideomycetes; Dothideales; Saccotheciaceae. The record is from RNAcentral.
CACAAGGGGGAAUUGCCAUCAGUACGGCGAGUGAAGCGGCAACAGCUCAAAUUUGAAAGCUAGCCUUCGGGUUCGCAUUGUAAUUUGUAGAGGAUGAUUUGGGGAAGCCGCCUGUCUAAGUUCCUUGGAACAGGACGUCAUAGAGGGUGAGAAUCCCGUAUGUGACAGGAAAUGGCACCCUAUGUAAAUCUCCUUCGACGAGUCGAGUUGUUUGGGAAUGCAGCUCUAAAUGGGAGGUAAAUUUCUUCUAAAGCUAAAUAUUGGCGAGAGACCGAUAGCGCACAAGUAGAGUGAUCGAAAGAUGAAAAGCACUUUGGAAAGAGAGUUAAAAAGCACGUGAAAUUGUUGAAAGGGAAGCGCUUGCAAUCAGACUUGUUUAAACUGUUCGGCCGGUCUUCUGACCGGUUUACUCAGUUUGGACAGGCCAGCAUCAGUUUCGGCGGCCGGAUAAAGGCUCUGGGAAUGUGGCCUCCACUUCGGUGGAGGUGUUAUAGCCCAGGGUGUAAUACGGCCAGCCGGGACUGAGGUCCGCGCUUCGGCUAGGAUGCUGGCGUAAUGGUUGUAAGCGACCCGUCUGAAAACCCGGACCAAAAAAGCCACAAGGCGGGGCCCCGCGGGGAGGCGGAAGGGGACAGGAGGAACAAAGACAGGAAACCAUUAAGUAAAAGAGAUCUACUCCGGC